UACGGAGGGUGCAAGCAUUGUCCGGAUUUAUUGGGUUUAAAGGGUGCGUAGGCGGCUUUUUAAGUCAGCGGUGAAAGACAACAGCUCAACUGGGGAGGGUCACGCGAUACUGAUCGACUGGAAGGCAGGAGAGGGUAGUGGAAUUCCCGGUGUAGUGGUGAAAUGCGUAGAUAUCGGGAGGAACACCAGUGGCGAAGGCGACUACCUGGCCUGUUCUUGACGCUGAGGCGCGAAAGCUAGGGGAGCAAACGGG
RNAcentral lists this ribosomal RNA (253 nucleotides) under uncultured bacterium. Its description in RNAcentral is "partial 16S ribosomal RNA". It matches the Rfam family "Bacterial small subunit ribosomal RNA", at positions 524 to 776 of the family's 1533-position model. The record is from RNAcentral.